AUCCUUCUGCAGUUCAUAAGCAUGAGGACUGGGUUUUCACGCGCGUGCGUGAGAUGUGCCUCCCUCGAUCCUUGUUACGACGUCGGCACAUGACCUGUCUGACA
RNAcentral lists this small nucleolar RNA (104 nucleotides) under Propithecus coquereli (Coquerel's sifaka). RNAcentral's name for it is "Small nucleolar RNA U13 (ENSPCOG00000011497.1)". It matches the Rfam family "Small nucleolar RNA U13". The record is from Rfam by way of RNAcentral. Lineage: Eukaryota; Metazoa; Chordata; Mammalia; Primates; Indriidae.